UACGUAUGUCGCAAGCGUUAUCCGGAUUUAUUGGGCGUAAAGCGCGUCUAGGCGGUUUAGUAAGUCUGAUGUGAAAAUGCGGGGCUCAACCCCGUAUUGCGUUGGAAACUGCUAGACUAGAGUACUGGAGAGGUAGGCGGAACUCCAAGUGUAGAGGUGAAAUUCGUAGAUAUUUGUAGGAAUGCCGGUGGGGAAACCGGCCUACUGGACCGAUACUGACGCUAAAGUGCGAAAGCGUGGGGAGCAAACAGG
Molecule: ribosomal RNA, 252 nt
Filed under: uncultured bacterium
Lineage: Bacteria
Description: partial 16S ribosomal RNA
Rfam family: Bacterial small subunit ribosomal RNA
Source: RNAcentral